UCUAGAAUGCCUGAUAAAAGGGUUAUUAUGAUAUAAUAAUUUAUGUACUUAAAUAGUUACUCCUAG
This 66-nucleotide transfer RNA is filed under the name Bemisia tabaci. Its description in RNAcentral is "tRNA-Ile". The record is from RNAcentral. Lineage: Eukaryota; Metazoa; Arthropoda; Insecta; Hemiptera; Aleyrodidae.